UUUCAUUUUUCUGAAACUACG
Molecule: non-coding RNA, 21 nt
Filed under: Caenorhabditis elegans
Lineage: Eukaryota; Metazoa; Nematoda; Chromadorea; Rhabditida; Rhabditidae
Source: RNAcentral